RNAcentral lists this long non-coding RNA (377 nucleotides) under Pelusios castaneus (West African mud turtle). RNAcentral describes it as "lncRNA (ENSPCEG00000004311.1)". Lineage: Eukaryota; Metazoa; Chordata; Testudines; Pelomedusidae. The record is from RNAcentral.
GACGUCUUCAGGGCUGUCGACUGGGACGACAGGAGAGUGCGACACACCUUCAUCCGCAAGGUCUACACCAUCAUCUCUCUCCAGCUGCUGGUGACGGUGGGCAUCAUCGCCGUCUUCACCUUCGUCUCCCCCGUUCGCACCUUUGUGCAGAGGAACUUUGCCAUUUACUACGCCUCUUAUGCUGUGUUCCUGGUGACCUACCUGGUGCUGGCCUGCUGCCCGGGGCCCCGGUGAGUGUCUCCAUCACCACUAGGGAACAGAGGGUGCAGCCCCUCCCUCCGAGGCGCCCCUCUGACUCAGAGUCCCCUGGGCGCCUGGCAAUGGGUGGGGGACUGGGGACUGGCUCCAUCCCCCAGGGGAGAUGAGAUAAGGCAGGG